RNAcentral lists this ribosomal RNA (507 nucleotides) under uncultured Glomeraceae. RNAcentral's name for it is "SSU rRNA". It matches the Rfam family "Eukaryotic small subunit ribosomal RNA", at positions 569 to 1078 of the family's 1831-position model. The record is from RNAcentral. Lineage: Eukaryota; Fungi; Glomeromycota; Glomeromycetes; Glomerales; Glomeraceae.
AGCAGCCGCGGUAAUUCCAGCUCCAAUAGCGUAUAUUAAAGUUGUUGCAGUUAAAAAGCUCGUAGUUGAAUUUCGGAAUCGACGGAUUGGUCGCGCCUUUGGUGUGUACUGGUCUUGCCGGUUUCUCCCUUCUGACGAACCACGAUGUCAUUAAUUUGGUGUCGUGGGGAAUCAGGACUGUUACUUUGAAAAAUUAGAGUGUUUAAAGCAGGCAUUAGCUUGAAUACAUUAGCAUGGAAUAAUGAAAUAGGACGUUUGAUCUUAUUUUGUUGGUUUCUAGGAUCGACGUAAUGAUUAAUAGGGAUAGUUGGGGGCAUUAGUAUUCAAUUGUCAGAGGUGAAAUUCUUGGAUUUAUUGAAGACUAACUACUGCGAAAGCAUUUGCCAAGGAUGUUUUCAUUAAUCAAGAACGAAAGUUAGGGGAUCGAAGACGAUCAGAUACCGUCGUAGUCUUAACCAUAAACUAUGCCGACUAGGGAUCGGAUGAUGUUAAUUUUUAAUGUACUCA